This 992-nucleotide ribosomal RNA is filed under the name Salmonella enterica subsp. enterica. RNAcentral describes it as "partial 23S ribosomal RNA". It matches the Rfam family "Bacterial large subunit ribosomal RNA", at positions 161 to 1191 of the family's 2925-position model. The record is from RNAcentral. Lineage: Bacteria; Pseudomonadati; Pseudomonadota; Gammaproteobacteria; Enterobacterales; Enterobacteriaceae.
AAUCCAUAGGUUAAUGAGGCGAACCGGGGGAACUGAAACAUCUAAGUACCCCGAGGAAAAGAAAUCAACCGAGAUUCCCCCAGUAGCGGCGAGCGAACGGGGAGGAGCCCAGAGCCUGAAUCAGCAUGUGUGUUAGUGGAAGCGUCUGGAAAGGCGCGCGAUACAGGGUGACAGCCCCGUACACAAAAGCGCAUGUGCUGUGAGCUCGAUGAGUAGGGCGGGACACGUGGUAUCCUGUCUGAAUAUGGGGGGACCAUCCUCCAAGGCUAAAUACUCCUGACUGACCGAUAGUGAACCAGUACCGUGAGGGAAAGGCGAAAAGAACCCCGGCGAGGGGAGUGAAAAAGAACCUGAAACCGUGUACGUACAAGCAGUGGGAGCACAGGUUUACCUGUGUGACUGCGUACCUUUUGUAUAAUGGGUCAGCGACUUAUAUUCUGUAGCAAGGUUAACCGUAUAGGGGAGCCGUAGGGAAACCGAGUCUUAAUUGGGCGUUAAGUUGCAGGGUAUAGACCCGAAACCCGGUGAUCUAGCCAUGGGCAGGUUGAAGGUUGGGUAACACUAACUGGAGGACCGAACCGACUAAUGUUGAAAAAUUAGCGGAUGACCUGUGGCUGGGGGUGAAAGGCCAAUCAAACCGGGAGAUAGCUGGUUCUCCCCGAAAGCUAUUUAGGUAGCGCCUCGUGAAUUCAUCUCCGGGGGUAGAGCACUGUUUCGGCUAGGGGGCCAUCCCGGCUUACCAACCCGAUGCAAACUGCGAAUACCGGAGAAUGUUAUCACGGGAGACACACGGCGGGUGCUAACGUCCGUCGUGAAGAGGGAAACAACCCAGACCGCCAGCUAAGGUCCCAAAGUCAUGGUUAAGUGGGAAACGAUGUGGGAAGGCCCAGACAGCCAGGAUGUUGGCUUAGAAGCAGCCAUCAUUUAAAGAAAGCGUAAUAGCUCACUGGUCGAGUCGGCCUGCGCGGAAGAUGUAACGGGGCUAAACCAUG